AAUAGAUACCCUGGUAGUCCAUGCCGUAAACGUUGGGCACUAGGUGUGGGGCUCAUUCCACGAGUUCCGUGCCGCAGCAAACGCAUUAAGUGCCCCGCCUGGGGAGUACGGCCGCAAGGCUAAAACUCAAAGGAAUUGACGGGGGCCCGCACAAGCGGCGGAGCAUGCGGAUUAAUUCGAUGCAACGCGAAGAACCUUACCAAGGCUUGACAUGCACGGGAAGCCACCAGAGAUGGUGGUCUCUUUGAACACUCGUGCACAGGUGGUGCAUGGUUGUCGUCAGCUCGCGUCGUGAGAUGUUGGGUUAAGUCCCGCAACGAGCGCAACCCUCGUCCCAUGUUGCCAGCGGGUUAUGCCGGGGACUCAUGGGAGACUGCCGGGGUCAACUCGGAGGAAGGUGGGGAUGACGUCAAAUCAUCAUGCCCCUUAUGUCUUGGGCUUCACGCAUGCUACAAUGGCCGGUACAAAGGGCUGCGAUACCGUAAGGUGGAGCGAAUCCCGAAAAAGCCGGUCUCAGUUCGGAUUGGGGUCG
RNAcentral lists this ribosomal RNA (532 nucleotides) under uncultured bacterium. Its description in RNAcentral is "bacterial SSU rRNA". It matches the Rfam family "Bacterial small subunit ribosomal RNA", at positions 777 to 1306 of the family's 1533-position model. The record is from RNAcentral.